This 465-nucleotide ribosomal RNA is filed under the name uncultured bacterium. Its description in RNAcentral is "partial 16S ribosomal RNA". It matches the Rfam family "Bacterial small subunit ribosomal RNA", at positions 28 to 507 of the family's 1533-position model. The record is from RNAcentral.
GACGAACGCUGGCGGCGUGCUUAACACAUGCAAGUCGAACGGAAAGGCCCCUUUGGGGGUACUCGAGUGGCGAACGGGUGAGUAACACGUGAGUAACCUGCCCUUGACUUCGGGAUAACUUCAGGAAACUGGGGCUAAUACCGGAUAGGAAUCCUUGCUGCAUGGUGGGGGUUGGAAAGCUUCGGCGGUUUUGGGUGGACUCGCGGCGUAUCAGCCUGUUGGUGGGGUAGUGGCUUACCGAGGCCUUGACGGGUAGCCGGCCUGGGGGGGCGACCGGCCAGGUUGGGACUGAGAGACGGCCCAGACUCCUACGGGAGGCAGCAGUGGGGAAUAUUGCACGAUGGGCGGGAGCCUGAUGCAGCAACGCCGCGGGCGGGAUGACGGCCUUCGGGUUGUAAGCCGCUUUCAGCAGGGGCGAAGCUUGUGGUGACGGUACCUGCAGAAGAAGCACCGGCUAACUACGUG